GGUGGGCGCGUGCGGUCUGCCUCUGGUACGUACUGCCCGCGCCCAUCUUACUUGCGGGGACGGGGCGUGUGCUUCACUGCGCGCGUCUCGGGCUCGCAGAGGUUACUUUGAGUAAAUUAGAGUGUUCAAAGCAGGCAUCCGCAUGAAUACAUUAGCAUGGAAUAACACGAUAGGACACCGGGCUAUCUGUUGGUCUGUAGCACCGGAGUAAUGAUUAAGAGGGACAGUCGGGGGCAUUCGUAUUUCAUUGUCAGAGGUGAAAUUCUUGGAUUUAUGAAAGACGAACUUCUGCCGAAAGCAUUUGCCAAGGAUGUUUUCAUUAAUCAAGAACGAAAGUUGGGGGCUCGAAGACGAUUAGAUACCGUCGUAGUCUCAACCAUAAACGAUGCCGACUA
This 395-nucleotide ribosomal RNA is filed under the name uncultured eukaryote. Its description in RNAcentral is "bacterial SSU rRNA". It matches the Rfam family "Eukaryotic small subunit ribosomal RNA", at positions 647 to 1048 of the family's 1831-position model. The record is from RNAcentral.